GGGGAUGACAUUGGUUUCGACGGGGAUAGUGAAUUUGGAAUAGCGAGCCGUUUUCGUCUACAAACGUUAAAAAAGGACAACUAAAUUUAAACGCAGAAGAUAAUUUUGCAUUAGCUGCCUAGUCGCAGCUUUUAAUCUCACUUUGCUCCCCGCAGCAAUUUUGAGAUUUCAUAAUUAGCGGGAAACCCAAUAAGAAGGGCUUCGAGCUUAUUGGAGUAUAAGAAGCUACCUGACAGAAAGAUUUGUUUGUUGAACUUUUUGAAGGGGAACUUUGAUCAAUAAACUGCGCUCGGAGAAAUUCCCUUGGAUCUAUUUUCGGACAUGGGUUCGACUCCCAUCAUCUCCACCA
This 349-nucleotide transfer-messenger RNA is filed under the name Gallicola sp. It matches the Rfam family "transfer-messenger RNA". Rfam says of the family: Bacterial tmRNA, also known as 10Sa RNA or SsrA, is named for its dual tRNA and mRNA-like properties. Its role is to liberate the mRNA from a stalled ribosome. To accomplish this part of the tmRNA is used as a reading frame that ends in a translation stop signal. The record is from RNAcentral. Lineage: Bacteria; Bacillati; Bacillota; Tissierellia; Tissierellales; Peptoniphilaceae.